UGGGGGAUAUUGCACAAUGGGCGAAAGCCUGAUGCAGCGACGCCGCGUGGGGGAUGAAGGCCUUCGGGUUGUAAACUUCUUUUGCUCUGAACAAGGCAUGCUAAUGGGUGUGUUGAGUGUAGGGGUUGAUUAGCGCCGGCUAACUACGUGCCAGCAGCCGCGGUAAUACGUAGGGCGCGAGCGUUGUCCGGAAUUAUUGGGCGUAAAGGGCUUGUAGGUGGCUGGUUGCGUCUGUCGUGAAAGCUCAUGGCUUAACUGUGGGUUUGCGGUGGGUGCGGGUUGGCUGGAGUGCAGUAGGGGAGGGUGGAAUUCCUGGUGUAGCGGUGGCAUGCGCAGAUGACAGGAGGAGUACCGGUAGCGAAGGCGGGGCUCUGGGCUGUUACUGACACUGAGGAGCGAAAGCAUGGGGAGCGAACAGG
This 419-nucleotide ribosomal RNA is filed under the name bacterium. Its description in RNAcentral is "partial 16S ribosomal RNA". It matches the Rfam family "Bacterial small subunit ribosomal RNA", at positions 355 to 776 of the family's 1533-position model. The record is from RNAcentral.